This 464-nucleotide ribosomal RNA is filed under the name Vreelandella stevensii. Its description in RNAcentral is "partial 16S ribosomal RNA". It matches the Rfam family "Bacterial small subunit ribosomal RNA", at positions 338 to 795 of the family's 1533-position model. The record is from RNAcentral. Lineage: Bacteria; Pseudomonadati; Pseudomonadota; Gammaproteobacteria; Oceanospirillales; Halomonadaceae.
CCUACGGGUGGCAGCAGUGGGGAAUAUUGGACAAUGGGCGAAAGCCUGAUCCAGCCAUGCCGCGUGUGUGAAGAAGGCCUUCGGGUUGUAAAGCACUUUCAGUGGGGAAGAAAGCCUUGGGGCUAAUACCCUCGAGGAAGGACAUCACCCACAGAAGAAGCACCGGCUAACUCCGUGCCAGCAGCCGCGGUAAUACGGAGGGUGCGAGCGUUAAUCGGAAUUACUGGGCGUAAAGCGCGCGUAGGCGGUCUGAUAAGCCGGUUGUGAAAGCCCCGGGCUCAACCUGGGAACGGCAUCCGGAACUGUCAGGCUAGAGUGCAGGAGAGGAAGGUAGAAUUCCCGGUGUAGCGGUGAAAUGCGUAGAGAUCGGGAGGAAUACCAGUGGCGAAGGCGGCCUUCUGGACUGACACUGACGCUGGGGUGCGAAAGCGUGGGUAGCAAACAGGAUUAGAUACCCGGUAGUC